Molecule: unclassified non-coding RNA, 352 nt
Filed under: soil metagenome
Description: partial contains 5.8S ribosomal RNA, internal transcribed spacer 2, and large subunit ribosomal RNA
Rfam family: 5.8S ribosomal RNA (bases 1-120)
Source: RNAcentral
GAUGAAGAACGCAGCGAAAUGCGAUAAGUAAUGUGAAUUGCAGAAUUCAGUGAAUCAUCGAAUCUUUGAACGCACAUUGCGCCCGCCAGUAUUCUGGCGGGCAUGCCUGUUCGAGCGUCAUUACAACCCUCAGGCCCCCGGGCCUGGCGUUGGGGAUCGGCGGAGCCCCCCGUGGGCACACGCCGUCCCCCAAAUGCAGUGGCGGUCCCGCCGCAGCUUCCAUCGCGUAGUAGCUAACACCUCGCGCCUGGAGAGCGGCGCGGCCACGCCGUAAAACACCCAACUCUUCUGAAGUUGACCUCGAAUCAGGUAGGAAUACCCGCUGAACUUAAGCAUAUCAAUAAGCGGAGGA